AUUGUCUCGCUUGACAGGGUCUAAAAGUGAGACAAAGGUAUGCUGCUUCUGGCAUCCACCACAGCAGCAGCAAUGUAUUUUAAAAUUUGUGAUUAGAUCUAGUUAAUGUGGUUAACUACAAGUUGUAGAUCAAUCAUAUUUGGUAUGCAGUCCUUUAUUUUAGUCCUAUUAGUAUUGGCACAUCUCAUUUCCAUAGAGAUUAUUGGACCCUCCCCCCGC
RNAcentral lists this long non-coding RNA (219 nucleotides) under Mytilus galloprovincialis (Mediterranean mussel). Lineage: Eukaryota; Metazoa; Mollusca; Bivalvia; Mytilida; Mytilidae. The record is from RNAcentral.